UUAGGGGAGAAGCUUGGUUCCUCCUUCUCCGCUGAGAGGGGAGAAGAGCUGGGUUCCUCUUUGAAAACUCUUUCCGUAUAGGCCAGAAAACAGCUUGCUUAGAGAAAGACUGACUCUCCUACGGACCUGGUGGACCUUACAGUCGAGUUAUUGCAUCGAUCUCACAAACUAUCAAUUUCAUAAGAGAAGAAAGAUCGUUUUUAGAUCAUCAAGUGAGGACAGGUAGUAGCUCUGGUAGAGCGAGGGACUGAAAAUCCUUCUGUCUGCGGUUCGAAUCCGGACUCACUUCUAGCUCUGGCACAAGUUCCUCAUCCUUAGUUGUUUGAUGAGCCUGCGUAGUA
RNAcentral lists this small RNA (341 nucleotides) under Arabidopsis thaliana (thale cress). RNAcentral describes it as "ATSL088000". The stretch from base 225 to 283 matches the Rfam family "tRNA", at positions 6 to 65 of the family's 71-position model. Lineage: Eukaryota; Viridiplantae; Streptophyta; Magnoliopsida; Brassicales; Brassicaceae. The record is from RNAcentral.